CUCCGGGGAAAUCUGUGCUGAAGGUCAAUGCACUGUUCUGAGGGAAGUCUCAGGGUACUGGGACUGGGAAAGAGAAUGAACCUUUAUUGAACACUCACUGAGCAUCAGUACUGCGCUAAGCUCUGCUGGUACAAAGGUGGCUUCAGGACAGCUACAAAUUCUGCAGGGCUCAGCGCAAGAUAAAAAUGACCUGCACCUUGUUCAAAAGGGAAGAAUGAGGGGGAUGGAGAGAAGCCAGGAGUGUUAUAAUAAUUGAGCUCCUUUCACAAGGAAGAAAACAACCAGAAUGAGAAGAUGAGGUCUCCCAAACACCACCAAGGGCUCUGUGAACGCCAAGGAGGAAUAUAUCUGCCAAGAAGGACUUCUCAUGGUUAACUGGGCUUAAAUUCAUAACCAGAGUCUAGCGGCCAUUGCUAACAGAAGUCUCUCACACACUCUGCCACAGACUGAGAUUUCAACUUCUUGUACUAUGCUCCUGCCAUCUGAAUCAACUAUUAUAAGGAAGUUCCUGUUUUCAUCUUUCAACCAAUGAAGUGAGACCUGCCCCGUCCAAUCAGAACUGUACAAUUAUAUUGUCAUUUGCAUCUAAAAUGACCAAUCAGAACUGCUCUAUAACGACCAAUCAGAAUGCACAACACUGACCAGUACUGUACUGAUUAGAAAACCUCAUUUGCAUAAAAGUAGGCCAAUCAGUAACCUGGGUGGGAACUUUCUCUAUAGAAGGUGGCCUCCCCUUUGUCUCUGGGGAGUGAGUGCACUUUCAAUUUUCCACCAAAGGCUGCAUUUCCUUGGUUUGCAAACUG
This is a long non-coding RNA of Rhinolophus ferrumequinum (greater horseshoe bat), 803 nucleotides long. RefSeq lists it as uncharacterized. NCBI's taxonomy places the organism in Eukaryota, Metazoa, Chordata, Mammalia, Chiroptera, Rhinolophidae. The transcript has 3 exons. The record is from RefSeq and is a predicted model, not a curated record.